Molecule: long non-coding RNA, 1025 nt
Filed under: Felis catus (domestic cat)
Lineage: Eukaryota; Metazoa; Chordata; Mammalia; Carnivora; Felidae
Description: lncRNA (ENSFCAG00000049977.1)
Source: RNAcentral
GGAUGGGGUGGGAGGGAAGGACAGGAUCCCACCGCUUUUUCGGCAGGGACUGUAACAUGUCAAGGAGAGAGCAUCUAAUUAAGACUUUGUCUGGAUGUGGCCGGAAGACAGGAGCUAGUGAGAGCACUUGGGAGGGGGUCAGGGACAGCUGUGUGCUUGGGACAACCUUGUACUUUGUUGAGGGCUCAGAUCCACGGGGACCACGGAAGGCUCCAGAAGAAACAUCGGCUUGGACUCCUAGAGCAGAGGCUUCCUUCCCCGAGGCGCCGCAGAGGUGGGGCCGUUGGCUCUCCAGGAACCAUGCAGCCCGCACAGUUUCACCCCUCAGCCACCCCAUGCCCCUACAGGACCCAGUGACGUCCCCAGGGGGGGACUGGCUUUUCCUCGCUUUCUCUCCUCUUUGGCCAUUUCAAGGACACCGAAAAGCCCUACGCUGUGAGGCGCAGCCAGGAAGAAACUUCCGCUGCUGCCCCUGCCACCUGUCAAAGGGCUCCUUCCCCAGUGCAGGUGGAGGGCGGCUGCGGGCUGGGGGCUGGAGGGCGUGGUCAGAAGUCACUGGGCCUUGUGGUCUUCAGGACCUUUGCACUCCCCCUCCUCUCCUCCCGUCUCCUCUCCUGCUGCCUUCUCCUUCCUGCCCCCCCCCCCGCUCCCUCUCCGUGUCCCCUCCUCCCCUUUUCUCAUCUCCCAUUGACAUCAUGACAUCAUCCCCUGGCUGUCCGCUCACUCAGCCACGCGGUUACUCGGUGAACGUCUGAAUCACCAACAUGGCAGGUGCCCCACCAGCUGCGGCAACCCCGGGAUGGGGUCGAGAGAGUGAGAGACGGAGUGUGUGCAGGGGAGGGGCAGAGAGAGAGGGAGACACAGAAUCCAAAGCAGGCUCCGGGUUCCGAGCCAUCAGCACAGAGCCCGACGCGGGGCUUGAACUCAUGGACCGCGAGAUCGUGACCUGAGCCGAAGUCGGAGGCUCAACCGACUGAGCCACCCAGGCGCCCGGAGAGAAAGUGCUUUCUUAUUCAUUCCCAUCC